Molecule: ribosomal RNA, 467 nt
Filed under: uncultured bacterium
Lineage: Bacteria
Description: partial 16S ribosomal RNA
Rfam family: Bacterial small subunit ribosomal RNA
Source: RNAcentral
GACGAACGCUGGCGGCGUGCUUAACACAUGCAAGUCGAACGGAAAGGCCUCUUUCGGGGGGUACUCGAGUGGCGAACGGGUGAGUAACACGUGAGUAACCUGCCCUUGACUUUGGGAUAACUUCAGGAAACUGGGGCUAAUACUGGAUAGGAGCUCCUGCUGCAUGGUGGGGGUUGGAAAGUUUCGGCGGUUGGGGAUGGACUCGCGGCUUAUCAGCUUGUUGGUGGGGUAGUGGCUUACCAAGGCUUUGACGGGUAGCCGGCCUGAGAGGGUGACCGGCCACAUUGGGACUGAGAUACGGCCCAGACUCCUACGGGAGGCAGCAGUGGGGAAUAUUGCACAAUGGGUGGAAGCCUGAUGCAGCAACGCCGUGUGCGGGAUGACGGCCUUCGGGUUGGAAACCGCUUUCGCUCAUGACGAAGCUUUGUGUGACGGUAGUGGGUAAAGAAGCACCGGCUAACUACGUG